Molecule: ribosomal RNA, 200 nt
Filed under: uncultured bacterium
Lineage: Bacteria
Description: partial 16S ribosomal RNA
Rfam family: Bacterial small subunit ribosomal RNA
Source: RNAcentral
GACGAACGCUGGCGGCGUGCUUAACACAUGCAAGUCGAACGGUGAUCUUGAGAGCUUGCUCUUGGGUGAUCAGUGGCGAACGGGUGAGUAACACGUGAGUAACCUGCCCCAGACUCUGGAAUAACCCCCGGGAAACCGGAGCUAAUACCGGAUACGACACCAAUCCCGCAUGGGUAUGGUGUGGAAAGUUUUUCGGUCUG